This 89-nucleotide small nucleolar RNA is filed under the name Candidozyma auris. RNAcentral describes it as "Candida auris Small nucleolar RNA snR56". It matches the Rfam family "Small nucleolar RNA snR56". The record is from Rfam by way of RNAcentral. Lineage: Eukaryota; Fungi; Ascomycota; Pichiomycetes; Serinales; Metschnikowiaceae.
CACAAGGAUGAAAAAAAUUUACACAGACCUGAUCUGAAUAGGGUUUCGGCCCUGAUGCAGAUAACCCAAUAUUGCCUAAUAAACUGAUG